RNAcentral lists this ribosomal RNA (443 nucleotides) under uncultured bacterium. Its description in RNAcentral is "partial 16S ribosomal RNA". It matches the Rfam family "Bacterial small subunit ribosomal RNA", at positions 338 to 795 of the family's 1533-position model. The record is from RNAcentral.
CCUACGUGACGCAGCAGUUGGGAAUAUUGCACAAUGGGCGACAGCCUGAUGCAGCAACGCCGCGUUAAGGAAGACGGUUUUCGGAUUGUAAACUUCUGUCAAUAGGGAAGAAAGAAAUGCCGGUACCUAAAUAAGAAGCCCCGGCUAACUACGUGACAGCAGCCGCGGUAAUACGUAGGGGGCAAGCGUUAUCCGGAAUUACUUGGUGGAAAGGGAGAGUAGGUGGCAAGGUAAGCGAUAUGUGAAAGCCUUAAGCUUAAAUUGAGGAUUGCAUAACGAACUAUCUAGCUAGAGUACAGGAGAGGAAAGCGGAAUUCCUAGGGUAGCGGUGAAAUGCGUAGAUAUUAGGAAGAACACCAGUGGCGAAGGCGGCUUUCUGGACUGAAACUGACGCUGAGGCUCGAAAGCGUGGGGAGCGAACAGGAUUAGAUACCCGAGUAGUC